CUGGCGGCGUGCCUAAUACAUGCAAGUCGAACGGUCUUUUCUAUGGAAGCUUGCUUCCGCUGAGAAGAUAGUGGCGAACGGGUGAGUAACACGUGGGUAACCUGCCCAUAAGAGGGGGAUAACAUCCGGAAACGGGUGCUAAUACCGCAUAGUUUUUCUUGAUCGCAUGAUCGGGAAAGGAAAGACGGCCUUUGUGCUGUCGCUUAUGGAUGGACCCGCGGCGUAUUAGUUAGUUGGUGAGGUAACGGCUCACCAAGACGAUGAUACGUAGCCGACCUGAGAGGGUGAUCGGCCACAUUGGGACUGAGACACGGCCCAAACUCCUACGGGAGGCAGCAGUAGGGAAUCUUCCGCAAUGGACGAAAGUCUGACGGAGCAACGCCGCGUGAGUGAAGAAAAGGGUUUUCGGAUCGUAAAACUCUGUUGUCAGAGAAGAACAAGUUGGAGAGUAACUGCUCCAGCCUUGACGGUAUCUGACCAGAAAGCCACGGCUAACUACGUGCCAGCCGCUGC
RNAcentral lists this ribosomal RNA (513 nucleotides) under uncultured bacterium. RNAcentral's name for it is "bacterial SSU rRNA". It matches the Rfam family "Bacterial small subunit ribosomal RNA", at positions 36 to 518 of the family's 1533-position model. The record is from RNAcentral.